UUUCUUGUAGGUUGAAUCGUGGCCAUGGAGGUUUGAAUGAAGGUUUCUCUUGUUCUUGUAGAUUGCAAGGAGAAGGAAUUCAUGAUGGUGGUUUUGGAAUGAGGUUACUAGUGGUUGUGAUGGGUGUGAUUUGUUGUUUCAGAUUCGUGUUUGCACGAAAGAGAGGAACGAGAAAGCUUUCGGGGUGGCCGACAUGGUGGUGGACUGAGGGAGAUGGUGGUUGCUGGGGU
This 230-nucleotide long non-coding RNA is filed under the name Vigna radiata. RNAcentral's name for it is "long non-coding RNA (VRAD_LNC002540)". The record is from RNAcentral. Lineage: Eukaryota; Viridiplantae; Streptophyta; Magnoliopsida; Fabales; Fabaceae.